RNAcentral lists this ribosomal RNA (465 nucleotides) under uncultured bacterium. RNAcentral's name for it is "bacterial SSU rRNA". It matches the Rfam family "Bacterial small subunit ribosomal RNA", at positions 330 to 794 of the family's 1533-position model. The record is from RNAcentral.
UCCAGACUCCUACGGGAGGCAGCAGUGAGGAAUAUUGGUCAAUGGGCGAGAGCCUGAACCAGCCAAGUCGCGUGAGGGAGUACUGCCCUAUGGGUUGUAAACCUCUUUUGUCGGGGAGCAAAAGCCGGACGUGUCCGGCUGUGAGAGUACCCGAAGAAAAAGCAUCGGCUAACUCCGUGCCAGCAGCCGCGGUAAUACGGAGGAUGCGAGCGUUAUCCGGAUUUAUUGGGUUUAAAGGGUGCGCAGGCGGCACGGCAGGCCGGCGGUAAAAUCGCGGGGCUCAACCCCGCCCAGCCGUCGGAACUGCCGGGCUAGAGUGGGCGAGAAGUGCGCGGAAUGCGUGGUGUAGCGGUGAAAUGCUUAGAUAUCGCGCAGAACCCCGAUUGCGAAGGCAGCGUACCGGCUCCACACUGACGCUGAGGCACGAAAGCGUGGGUAUCGAACAGGAUUAGAUACCCGAGUAUG